Molecule: ribosomal RNA, 158 nt
Filed under: Mycosphaerellaceae sp. MRG-1
Lineage: Eukaryota; Fungi; Ascomycota; Dothideomycetes; Mycosphaerellales; Mycosphaerellaceae
Also listed under: 1 other name
Description: 5.8S ribosomal RNA
Rfam family: 5.8S ribosomal RNA
About the family: 5.8S ribosomal RNA (5.8S rRNA) is a component of the large subunit of the eukaryotic ribosome. It is transcribed by RNA polymerase I as part of the 45S precursor that also contains 18S and 28S rRNA.
Source: RNAcentral
AAACUUUCAACAACGGAUCUCUUGGUUCUGGCAUCGAUGAAGAACGCAGCGAAAUGCGAUAAGUAAUGUGAAUUGCAGAAUUCAGUGAAUCAUCGAAUCUUUGAACGCACAUUGCGCCCUUUGGUAUUCCGAAGGGCAUGCCUGUCCGAGCGUCAUUU